Molecule: long non-coding RNA, 2266 nt
Organism: Engraulis encrasicolus (European anchovy)
Lineage: Eukaryota; Metazoa; Chordata; Actinopteri; Clupeiformes; Engraulidae
Exons: 2
Source: RefSeq, a predicted model, not a curated record
AGUCAUAUUAAUGACCAAGAAUGACUUACUUGUAACUUAAUUGUUAUGUGCUUUUAAUAUGUGUUUCAGGCAGUGGUGUUGCAUCUUUUAUAUGCAUGGUUGUCCUGAAGUCAUUCUGGAACAGGGUAAGUCGCCGACUGAAGAAAAAUAAACAGACUUAAAGGCCAUAACACUGUCAUGUUAUUUGUUUAUGAAUAGCCAUUUUCACUCACUCAGGCUUGCUGUCCUUGUUGCACUGUGCACUGUGUAGGAUGGUGGCAGAGUAGAUUUUGCAACUAAAUAAUAAACUCAUAUUUACAGUUAGUACUAUUAUAACUAAUAUUGCAAUUUGCGCAGUCAUAGAGAAUAUUUUGAAUUUGAUGGUGGUGGUAAGAAUCAGUGAAAAAGAUUUAUGACUGGGCCGCAUGAAUUAUGGAACGAGACUGCCAAAUACAUUUCACAGUGCACCUUUGAGGUCAAUAGAUCCCUUUACUGUUUGCAUACAGAUGUGACAUAAUCAAGCUGCGCUCUCAUUGUUGGAGCACAAUGGACCAUGUAUGCACAUUUGUAAAGAAACUAGCCAGGUGUUAUUUCUGAAAUAAGCAAAUGGAUGGUCACGAUAACUUCAGAUAUGAAGUGGAACCGCUCAUUCCUUAUGGUGGCCUCAGUCCGGUCGUUCUUAAAUUUCUUGAAACAAACUCCUAUGUUCUGAAACAGCCUAUUCCCGUAGAAUAGCGUAACAAGUGUUCUUUUUAGGGUCUCUAUUUAAAAAAAGGAUGGCAGGUCUUCUCUCUUUAGGGUCUGCACUGUCUCUGUGUGUGUUUGAGUCAACAAUGCGUGAGCAGUCUGAUGACUUAACUUCUAUGUGAAGCUGUCAAGAGCUGUGUAGAGGGCAAAUACACUGUGGAUUGGUCACAACUGUUACUAAUAACUCAACCCCUUUACUUUUUCAGCUCUAGACAGAUGACCAAAACAGACCAUAGAAUGUACCUUUAAAGAAAAAAGUUUAACCAAUGAGUAUUCUUAAUAGUGUAUCUUGUCCCAGGGUUGUGUUCAGGUGCGUGACAACUGACAACAUUGAGAAGACCCAGGAGCGGGAGAAGGGCAGCCUGAUGAAAGAAGGCGACAGUGUUCUGUGGUCACACCUGAGAUGAUGGUCCUGAAGAGGAACGAGAGGAGAUACUGGCCAUAUAAAUACAGGCACUGGGCAUCACAGUGGAGGACAAUCAUGAAAAGGUUGAAGACUUCACUGUGCCCAUCCCUGAAGUCCCUCCACUCGGUGCAGCAGCUCUUUCCACCAUACUGCCAUGCUCUGGGUUGUCCCUGCCACCAUCCACCUUUUGGGUCAUCCGUGCCGCCAGCCAUCACCGUGCCUGCAGCGCCUGGGUCAUCCGUGCCACUCCCCACCAUGCUGCCAGCCAUCACUGUGCCUGCAGCACCUGGGUCAUCCCUGCCACCAUCCACCGUGCCUUCAACGUCCACAGCACCUCCGGUCUCUGUGAGCCAGUUUGCAGCUCUACUGACCUCUCCAGUAUACAGUAUGCUGUAAUUGCUAAUGGUUUCUCUGAGUGGCCUGACCGGUUAAUUGUCCCGUAUCCCAACUAUUUACCACUAAACAAGUGAUUUUGUAAUAAGUAGGAGAUCUUUGCAAUGUUAUCAGUAUGGUUGGACUCUGAUGUUUCACUGCUGUAUGUCUUCCUCAAAGAGUAAACCGAAUUCUGAGUAUUCUUGGAUUUAGUCUUUGAAAAGUAGAGCAGCCCGUUUGUUUGAAACUGUUGUCCUGGACACCAAAUAGACUGGAACUGAUAUCCUUUUUUAAAAGAAACUGGUAUCCUUUUUAUGUGUGCAGUUUAAUGGUAGAACAGUAUACACUGAUGUGCCUUUAUCAGUAACAAAGUGAAAACGGAACAAAAUUUGACUAUUUCUGUCAAAAACUGCUACAAAUUCUACAUAUUGUUUAUAUAAACCUAGUUCUGGAGGAAGUCUGAGAGUUAUUGACAGUUGCCAUGUCAAGCUUCCGCCUUCGCGUAAAUUUAAAUCCCACCUUCCCUCCUUCCCCUGUCAUGCGCAAAGGCUAUCCUAAUUGUCCCAGCACCUCCCCCUACUCCCUCAUCUCACUGGAUCACCCAGCUACAUGUCCCCUACACUUAUGGAGUGGAAGCGGAUCUCGUGCCGCAUGAUCUCCGCAGGGUCCCAGGACAGAGGCCAGCUAACAUCGAAUUAUGCCUAUUGACUAUGGUUACCAUACUCCAGGGCAAACUCGUGAAUUAAAUGGUCCUGUUGUUAA